ACAAAUCAUGCGCUGGUCCUUGGGCCGCGUACAUUCACCCAGAGCCCCUUGGGGUUCUUGUGGUUCGGGUUGCGUGCUGUGCAGUAUGCUCUGCAUAUACGCACACACACAUACCCAAAACAUAGACGCUUGCAUGUUUGACUGUAUCAUUGGCAACAAAAUGGA
This 165-nucleotide unclassified non-coding RNA is filed under the name uncultured fungus. RNAcentral's name for it is "sequence contains ITS1". The record is from RNAcentral. Lineage: Eukaryota; Fungi.